This 1102-nucleotide long non-coding RNA is filed under the name Salvator merianae (Argentine black and white tegu). RNAcentral describes it as "lncRNA (ENSSMRG00000001296.1)". The record is from RNAcentral. Lineage: Eukaryota; Metazoa; Chordata; Lepidosauria; Squamata; Teiidae.
CAGGCCGUGGGAGAUGAAAAAGCGCAGCGGACAAACUCCAGCAAAUCUCCACCGUUUCCUUGCUGAAGAGGUUGCCAUGGAAGUGGAUGAAAUCUGUGGUUAGGCAUUUGAUCUUUGCUUGUGGUCUCUUUUCGGUGAUAGCAGGAAUGUGGGGACAACGCUGGUCAAAUGAGGAGUCAAAAUAUCUAGACUGUCGGUCACCAUUAGCACCUAACAGGAUUGGGUCUGGCAUCUGGAUUGCUAGCAGGAAGAGGAAGCAGAUUUCCCCAACGCUGAGAGGUCUGUUUGUCAUCUUAGGAAGGAAGAUGCCUUAUGCUGAGUUGAAAGUAUUGUUCCCCUCCCAACCCUGUUUGCAGAUUUUAAGGAUUGAAUUUGGAGACGCUCUACACUAUCUAUUUUGGACUAUUUUUUUUUAAUGUUUUAUCCUUUGGCUCCAUAUUUCUAAUCAUGAUUUACUCCCAUCCUAUGUGUGACAUUACAAUGUCAAGGCAGUUUUAAGCCCCAAUGUUUUUAAAUGAAAUGCUGCUUUGAAGAAAGUUGUGAUGUGAAGGGGUGAUGGUGAAGAACAGAGCAAUGAGGAAAAUUUCUCUUCUCAUCAACUUUCCAGGCUCCAAAGUAGCAUCUAAAAAAUCUGUUGAGUUAAUGAAUUCCUUCCCGCCUUUCAAAAUACUGCAUUUCUGAUUGAUUCAAACUGGUUGCAGAAGUUUGGUCUAACUGUAUCAUUGUUUGGUCAAGUUUGGUUGAACUUUAUCAUUGGCUUACAUGGAUCAUCCACCAAUUAUGCAACGUGGGAGAGAGCUCAUAUUUGUAAUACAGCCAUGAUGUUGUGUAACUACAAACAUUUUUGGAUGUUGUUUUGCCUCUUCCUGACCCUGCUUACAUUUAUAAGGUGAUGCAUAGUUGAUCCGUCCAUGACAAAAUGCAAAAGUCAUUUCUGACCAGCGGCGGCCACUGGCUUUAAGGGCAGGUGUUCGUAACCCGUGGAAAGGGCACAAUUGCUGUUCACGGGGCCUCCAGGCCUCCAUACUGUCACAGCAGGUUGCUGUGUAUCAUAUGUUACGUGUAUCAUAUGGGAAAGUAUAUACAGAAAUGUGUAUAGAAC